This 477-nucleotide ribosomal RNA is filed under the name uncultured bacterium. Its description in RNAcentral is "SSU rRNA". It matches the Rfam family "Bacterial small subunit ribosomal RNA", at positions 26 to 521 of the family's 1533-position model. The record is from RNAcentral.
AGGAUGAACGCUGGCGGCGUGCCUAACACAUGCAAGUCGAACGUCCUGUCUCGCAAGAGGCAGGGAGUGGCGGACGGGUGAGUACCACGUGGGUCAUCUACCGUGAGGUGAGGAAUACCGGCGAGAAAUCGCCGACAAAACCGCAUAGGCUCGAUGCAAGUCGAGCAAAGCUCGCUCGCAAGAGGGAGCGCCACACGAGGAGCCUGCGCCCGAUUAGCUGGCUGGUGGAGUAAUGGUUCACCAGGGCGACGAUCGGUAGCUGGUCUGAGAGGACGAUCAGCCACACUGGGAUUGAGAACGGCCCAGACUCCUACGGGGGCAGCAGUGAGGAAUUUUCGUCAAUGGGGGCAACCCUGAACGAGCAACGCCGCGUGCAGGAAGAAGGUUUUCGGAUCGUAAACUGCUUUUCGUCGGGGAAGAGGAACGGACGGUACCCGAGGAAGAAGCCCCGGCUAACUACGCGCCAGCAGCCGCGGU